RNAcentral lists this transfer RNA (72 nucleotides) under Ailuropoda melanoleuca (giant panda). It matches the Rfam family "tRNA". Rfam says of the family: Transfer RNA (tRNA) molecules are approximately 80 nucleotides in length. Their secondary structure includes four short double-helical elements and three loops (D, anti-codon, and T loops). The record is from Rfam by way of RNAcentral. Lineage: Eukaryota; Metazoa; Chordata; Mammalia; Carnivora; Ursidae.
GCCUGGCUGGCUCAGUCGGUGAGCAUGUGACUCUUGAUCUCAGAGUUUUGAGUUCGAGCCCCAUGUUGGGUG